Molecule: small nucleolar RNA, 151 nt
Organism: Lathyrus oleraceus (garden pea)
Lineage: Eukaryota; Viridiplantae; Streptophyta; Magnoliopsida; Fabales; Fabaceae
Product: small nucleolar RNA snoR145
Exons: 1
Source: RefSeq, a predicted model, not a curated record
AUGCGAAGAUCCCAGCAGAGAGGCGAGUUACUCUUAUUAUUGAGGCCGCUCUAACUAUUAAUUUCAAUAACUUCGCACAUUGAAUUGCCGAAUCGUAGGAUACCCAAAUUUAUCUUGUUUUGGUGUAUCUUGAACCCUCGUCUACAUUUCC